This 418-nucleotide long non-coding RNA is filed under the name Androctonus crassicauda. Lineage: Eukaryota; Metazoa; Arthropoda; Arachnida; Scorpiones; Buthidae. The record is from RNAcentral.
AUUUGGUGUCAAGGGGGUGAUGGACUUGACUUCAUUUUGUAUUAUACAACAAGGUAUAUCCAUCAGGAUAUACCUUUUCAUCGAAUUGGAUGCUCGCAGAAAGGGAAGAAAUACAAAUUGUUUCUUCAUUCUUUUCCAAGUUGACUAUAUAGAACUGUCUGAGUGUUACUUUUUUCCUCCAAGUUUAGUUAGUAACUGCUGGACAUGUCUAGACCCUCUGAAGAUUUUUGAAUGACUGCUCAUUUUUCACUCAUUCUCUUUUCAUCCUAGAUCACCUCUGUCCUUUUGAUUUCACCUUUCCUGGGAAAAACCAGAUGCAUUUUCUUUGCUUAUUGUUUGAAAAGAAGUGAUCAUGUUUUUUCAUUAUGUGGGAUGGCAGAUUUAGUUCUACAUACAUAUAUUACAUAUAUAUUCUUAC